This 253-nucleotide ribosomal RNA is filed under the name uncultured bacterium. Its description in RNAcentral is "partial 16S ribosomal RNA". It matches the Rfam family "Archaeal small subunit ribosomal RNA", at positions 474 to 727 of the family's 1478-position model. The record is from RNAcentral.
UACCAGCACCCCGAGUGGUCGGGACGAUUAUUGGGCCUAAAGCAUCCGUAGCCGGUCCUACAAGUCUUCCGUUAAAUCCACCUGCUUAACAGAUGGGCUGCGGAAGAUACUAUAGGGCUAGGAGGCGGGAGAGGCAAGCGGUACUCAGUGGGUAGGGGUAAAAUCCUCUGAUCCAUUGAAGGCCACCAGUGGCGAAGGCGGCUUGCCAGAACGCGCUCGACGGUGAGGGAUGAAAGCUGGGGGAGCAAACCGG